Molecule: long non-coding RNA, 213 nt
Filed under: Ananas comosus (pineapple)
Lineage: Eukaryota; Viridiplantae; Streptophyta; Magnoliopsida; Poales; Bromeliaceae
Description: long non-coding RNA (ACOM_LNC001693)
Source: RNAcentral
GUUGCUUUCUUCGGCGAGAGGAAAAGAAAUGAACAAGGGAAAAGAAGAGGAGAGAGAAAGAGGAGAGGGAAAAAGUAAUAAGAAUAUUUUGGUCAGUUUGCUGAAAAAGCGGACUGAAUCUGCCAAAACGAAAAAGGUGGCCCGGUUUUACAAAAACUCAAAACUAGUGGAUUUUUUAUCCAAAUUGGCCAAGAUAUUUAGACUUUGUAGCUU